This 361-nucleotide unclassified non-coding RNA is filed under the name soil metagenome. RNAcentral describes it as "partial contains 5.8S ribosomal RNA, internal transcribed spacer 2, and large subunit ribosomal RNA". The stretch from base 1 to 119 matches the Rfam family "5.8S ribosomal RNA", at positions 35 to 154 of the family's 154-position model. The record is from RNAcentral.
GAUGAAGAACGCAGCGAAAUGCGAUAAGUAAUGCGAAUUGCAGAAUCCGUGAGUCAUCGAAUCUUUGAACGCACAUUGCGCCCGCCAGCAUUCUGGCGGGCAUGCCUGUCCGAGCGUCAUUUCAACCCUCAGGGUCCCUCCGCCUCGCGCGGUCGGAGCCUGGUGUUGGGGAUCGGCCCGCCCCGCGCGGCGCCGUCCCCCAAAUACAGUGGCGGUCCCGCCGCAGCCUCCCCUGCGCAGUAGUUAUCAACUCGCACUGGAGCGCGGCGCGGCCACGCCGUAAAACCCCCGACUUUUAGAAAGUUGACCUCGGAUCAGGUAGGAAUACCCGCUGAACUUAAGCAUAUCAAUAAGCGGAGGA